GUGGGGAAUAUUGGACAAUGGGCGAAAGCCUGAUCCAGCCAUGCCGCGUGUGUGAAGAAGGUCUUCGGAUUGUAAAGCACUUUAAGUUGGGAGGAAGGGCAGUAAGUUAAUACCUUGCUGUUUUGACGUUACCGACAGAAUAAGCACCGGCUAACUUCGUGCCAGCAGCCGCGGUAAUACGAAGGGUGCAAGCGUUAAUCGGAAUUACUGGGCGUAAAGCGCGCGUAGGUGGUUUUGUAAGUUGGAGGUGAGAUCCCCGGGCUCAACCUGGGAACUGCCUCCAAAACUGCAUGACUAGAAUACGGUAGAGGGUAGUGGAAUUUCCUGUGUAGCGGUGAGAUGCGUAGAUAUAUGAAGGAACACCAGUGGCGAUGGCGACUACCUGGACUGAUACUGACACUGAGGUGCGAAAGCGUGGGGAGCAAACAGGAUUAGAAACCCCAGUAGUCC
Molecule: ribosomal RNA, 450 nt
Filed under: uncultured bacterium
Lineage: Bacteria
Description: partial 16S ribosomal RNA
Rfam family: Bacterial small subunit ribosomal RNA
Source: RNAcentral